UGGGGAAUAUUGCACAAUGGGCGCAAGCCUGAUGCAGCCAUGCCGCGUGUAUGAAGAAGGCCUUCGGGUUGUAAAGUACUUUCAGUCGGGAGGAAGGUGUCAAGGUUAAUAACCUUGGCAAUUGACGUUACCGACAGAAGAAGCACCGGCUAACUCCGUGCCAGCAGCCGCGGUAAUACGGAGGGUGCAAGCGUUAAUCGGAAUUACUGGGCGUAAAGCGCACGCAGGCGGUUGAUUGAGUCAGAUGUGAAAUCCCCGGGCUUAACCCGGGAAUUGCAUCUGAUACUGGUCAGCAAGAGUCUUGUAGAGGGGGGUAGAAUUCCAUGUGUAGCGGUGAAAUGCGUAGAGAUGUGGAGGAAUACCGGUGGCGAAGGCGGCCCCCUGGACAAAGACUGACGCUCAGGUGCGAAAGCGUGGGGAGCAAACAGG
Molecule: ribosomal RNA, 429 nt
Filed under: Chloroflexota bacterium
Lineage: Bacteria; Bacillati; Chloroflexota
Description: Chloroflexi bacterium partial 16S ribosomal RNA
Rfam family: Bacterial small subunit ribosomal RNA
Source: RNAcentral